Molecule: ribosomal RNA, 465 nt
Filed under: uncultured bacterium
Lineage: Bacteria
Description: partial 16S ribosomal RNA
Rfam family: Bacterial small subunit ribosomal RNA
Source: RNAcentral
GACGAACGCUGGCGGCGUGCUUAACACAUGCAAGUCGAACGGUAAGGCCCUUUCGGGGGUCCACGAGUGGCGAACGGGUGAGUAACACGUAGGUAACCUGCCCACAACUUUGGGAUAACGCUAGGAAACUGGUGCUGAUACUGGAUAUGUACUCCUUCUGCAUGGUGGGGGUUGGAAAGCUCCGGCGGGUGUGGAUGGACUCGCGGCCUAACAGCUUGUUGGUGGGGUAGUGGCCUACCAAGGCGGCGAGGGGUAGCCCGCCUGCGGGGGUGACCGGCCACAUUGGGACCUAGGUGAGGCCGAGGCUGCUAAGGGAGGGAACAGUGGGGAAUCUUGCCCAAUGGGCGCAAGGCGGAUGCAGCAACGCCGCGGGCGGGAAGACGGCCUUCGGGGUGUAAACCGCUUUCAGCAGGGACGAAGCUUUUUGUGACGGUACCUGCAGAAGAAGCACCGGCUAACUACGUG